AGGUUAUUGACAAAGUGCCCGCAGUGGUGAAAACAGGCAGAUCGUAAAGACGCCGUAAACCCAUCCCUGGGGGCUAGAGCCGCGCCUUCCCUGGCGCGGACGCUUU
Molecule: non-coding RNA, 106 nt
Filed under: Yersinia enterocolitica
Lineage: Bacteria; Pseudomonadati; Pseudomonadota; Gammaproteobacteria; Enterobacterales; Yersiniaceae
Description: Yersinia sRNA 224
Rfam family: Yersinia sRNA 224
Source: RNAcentral